GACGUAGGAUGCGAGCGUUGUCCGGAUUUAUUGGGCGUAAAGAGUUCGUAGGUGGUUCGUUAAGUCUGGUGUAAAAGACUGGGGCUCAACCCUGGGAUCGCACUGGAUACUGGCGGACUGGAGUGUGGUAGAGGCAAGCGGAAUUCCCAGUGUAGCGGUGAAAUGCGUUGAGAUCGGAAGGAACGCCCGUGGCGAAAGCGAGGUCCUGGGCCCUUACUGACGCUGAGACGCGAAAGCCAGGGGAGCGAACGGG
This 253-nucleotide ribosomal RNA is filed under the name uncultured bacterium. Its description in RNAcentral is "partial 16S ribosomal RNA". It matches the Rfam family "Bacterial small subunit ribosomal RNA", at positions 524 to 776 of the family's 1533-position model. The record is from RNAcentral.